UUGAACGCUGGCGGCAGGCCCAACACAUGCCAGUCGAACGGUAACAGGAAGAAGCUUGCUUCUUUGCUGACGAGUGGCGGACGGGUGAGUAAUGUCUGGGAAACUGCCUGAUGGAGGGGGAUAACUACUGGAAACGGUAGCUAAUACCGCAUAACGUCGCAAGACCAAAGAGGGGGACCUUCGGGCCUCUUGCCAUCGGAUGUGCCCAGAUGGGAUUAGCUAGUAGGUGGGGUAACGGCUCACCUAGGCGACGAUCCCUAGCUGGUCUGAGAGGAUGACCGGCCACCGUGGAAAUGAGACACGGCCAGGACCCCGAGGGGGGGAGGCGGGGGGAAAGAUUGAAAAAGGGGGGCAAGCUGGAGGCAGCCAGGCGGGGGGGAGAAAGAAGGCCUUCGGGUUUUAAAGUACUUUCAGGGGGGAGGAAGGGGGAAAAGUUAAUACCUUAACUCAUUGAGGUGCCCCGAAGAAGAAGCACCGGCUAACUCCGG
RNAcentral lists this ribosomal RNA (488 nucleotides) under uncultured bacterium. Its description in RNAcentral is "partial 16S ribosomal RNA". It matches the Rfam family "Bacterial small subunit ribosomal RNA", at positions 29 to 506 of the family's 1533-position model. The record is from RNAcentral.